This 397-nucleotide ribosomal RNA is filed under the name uncultured bacterium. RNAcentral describes it as "partial 16S ribosomal RNA". It matches the Rfam family "Bacterial small subunit ribosomal RNA", at positions 362 to 776 of the family's 1533-position model. The record is from RNAcentral.
UAUUGCACAAUGGGGGAAACCCUGAUGCAGCGACGCCGCGUGAGUGAAGAAGUAUUUCGGUANGUAAAGCUCUAUCAGCAGGGAANNCCNNNANGGUACCUGACCAAGAAGCCCCGGCUAACUACGUGCCNNNANACGCGGUAAUACGUAGGGGGCAAGCGUUAUCCGGAUUUACUGGGUGUAAAGGGAGCGUAGACGGUGAUGCAAGUCAGAAGUGAAAGCCCGGGGCUCAACUCCGGGACUGCUUUUGAAACUGUGUAACUGGAGUGCAGGAGAGGUAAGCGGAAUUCCUGGUGUAGCGGUGAAAUGCGUAGAUAUCAGGAGGAACACCAGUGGCGAAGGCGGCUUACUGGACUGUAACUGACGUUGAGGCUCGAAAGCGUGGGGAGCAAACAGG